AUGGGUGCCAAGGGUGUACUUAACAUUGCUUGGGUUAAUGUUAGCAACAUCCCUCUGGAUAAAAUACAUGACAGAAAUAUUGCAUAUGUUGGGUCUUUGGUUGGUGUCACCUUAGACAUUGAUAAAGCUACUGUUAACAGACCUGAGUCGGUCAGAAUUAAGCUGGGAUGUAGAGAUGCUGAAGAUAUCCCGACUAAGGCCGAGGGGGUGCUAGGUUGA
RNAcentral lists this ribosomal RNA (219 nucleotides) under Triticum aestivum (bread wheat). RNAcentral's name for it is "partial small subunit ribosomal RNA". Lineage: Eukaryota; Viridiplantae; Streptophyta; Magnoliopsida; Poales; Poaceae. The record is from RNAcentral.